GAAUUCAACAUUACAAAAAUUUUGAACUUUUUUUUCAAGUGGUUACUGAACCAUGAAAAUGAGGUCAAGGACAUUGGACAUGUGACUGACGGAAACUUCGUAACAUGAGGCAUCUAUAUACAAAGUAUGAAGCAUCCAGGUCUUUCACCUUCUAAAAUAUAAACCUUUUAAGAAGUUAGCUAACGCCGCCGCCGUAGCCGCCGGAUCACUAUCCCUAUGUCGAGCUUUCUGCAACAAAAGUUGCAGGCUCGACAAAAACCGGA
RNAcentral lists this long non-coding RNA (263 nucleotides) under Mytilus galloprovincialis (Mediterranean mussel). Lineage: Eukaryota; Metazoa; Mollusca; Bivalvia; Mytilida; Mytilidae. The record is from RNAcentral.